UACAGAGGUGGCAAGCGUUGUUCGGAAUCACUGGGCGUAAAGCGUACGUAGGCGGCUCGGCAAGUCAGAGGUGAAAGCCCAGGGCUCAACCCUGGAUGUGCCUUUGAAACUGCUGAGCUUGAAUGCGGGAGAGGUGAGUGGAAUUCCGAGUGUAGAGGUGAAAUUCGUAGAUAUUCGGAAGAACACCAGUGGCGAAGGCGACUCACUGGACUGCUAUUGACGCUGAGGUACGAAAGCGUGGGGAGCAAACAGG
Molecule: ribosomal RNA, 253 nt
Filed under: uncultured bacterium
Lineage: Bacteria
Description: partial 16S ribosomal RNA
Rfam family: Bacterial small subunit ribosomal RNA
Source: RNAcentral